GCGCCGAUGGUGCAGUUGCUUAGCACGUUUCUUUAGAAAGGACGAAAUACGAGUUGGAUUCUCGUCUGACGUU
Non-coding RNA from Parelaphostrongylus tenuis, 73 nucleotides. NCBI's taxonomy places the organism in Eukaryota, Metazoa, Nematoda, Chromadorea, Rhabditida, Metastrongylidae. The record is from the annotation of a GenBank genome assembly.